Molecule: unclassified non-coding RNA, 335 nt
Filed under: soil metagenome
Description: partial contains 5.8S ribosomal RNA, internal transcribed spacer 2, and large subunit ribosomal RNA
Rfam family: 5.8S ribosomal RNA (bases 1-120)
Source: RNAcentral
GAUGAAGAACGUAGCGAAAUGCGAUAAGUAAUGUGAAUUGCAGAAUUCAGUGAAUCAUCGAAUCUUUGAACGCACAUUGCGCCCGCCAGUAUUCUGGCGGGCAUGCCUGUUCGAGCGUCAUUUCAACCAUCAAGCCCCCGGGCUUGUGUUGGGGACCUGCGGCUGCCGCAGGCCCUGAAAACCAGUGGCGGGCUCGCUAGUCACUCCGAGCGUAGUAGUUACAUCUCGCUCAGGGCGUGCUGCGGGUUCCGGCCGUUAAAAGCCUUUUACCCCAAGGUUGACCUCGGAUCAGGUAGGAAGAACCGCUGAACUUAAGCAUAUCAAUAAGCGGAGGA